AAAAAGGGCACAUUCGAAACAAGGCCUUCAAACUAAGAAUAUCCUCUAGCAGCGUUGUGACACGCAUAUCCUGUGUGUCACACUCAUUUAAAAGGAUACAACUUCUUCUCACUCCAUCAUUCUUUCCCCUUAUAACCUCCAAAACAAUAAACAAUCUCCGACAUUCAAUAAGCAAUAAACAAUCCCCACUCUUCACGGUAAUACUCUAGUAUACCAUUCAAUUGCACAAGGUAGCCAACCUAAUCGACCAAGUCCUUUACUGGCUCGGCUAGAGUAGCUUGCCAAGGCUUAGGGCCCAAUUCGACCGAUGAAACAAGGUUCACGCAGUCUACAAUCGUUCAUGCACAGUCAAAUAACAUUCAUUUCAAUUCAAAAGGCAGUUGCAGUGAAGUACACACCAACCUUUGCAUUCACCUCGAAUAAUCAAGCACAUUCAACAAAUAACAAGUACAAGUAACUUAAGAACACUCACCCAAUUCCAAAUAAAUCACUCUUGAGCCUCGGGUUAGCUUCCUGGCUUACAGCUACCCCCUUGAGACAAUUUAUAACUCUAAAGUGAAUAUACAAUUUGUAGAUGAUCACUUAUCAUUUGUUGUCUUAUGAUUCAAACUAUUAAAGUCGAGUUUUGGCUUUAAAAUACAAGAUAUAACAUAUCCAACACCCAUCUUACAUUUUAUCUCGAAACAUAACAACUUUAUCAUUUUAACCAAAGAAAUAUACAUAUUUUCCGAGUUUAUAGUCUUGUAAGAUGUUUAGACUAGGAUUAAACCAUUUUCUAUUCAAUAUUCUAAGAUUAAGGCAUAUGGACAUUCCAUUUGUUUCCUUUUUAAACUAACCAAACUCUCAGCUGUUUGUAAAUUAAAUUUUAUUCCACUAUACCAGCCCCUCAAAUUCUAAAGUCUUUAAAAUGCUCAUGAAAACAAGAUUAAGUGGUUAGAAGCCAUUUCAUGUAUAUAGCUAUAACAAGUUAUCUUAGAGUUUCCAAAAACAUCAUAGAAGGCUUAACUAGCUACCAUUUCGGCCAUCAAACCAAAAUUCCAGCAAUAUACUUCAGAUUUUCAACAAAACUUCAUUCCUUUAUUUGCUUACAGCUUUGAAUACUUUAAUGCACUUUCAGUCCAGUAUAAACCAAGACAAAUAACAUCUUGUUACAGCAAUUUAUUCAAUCAAAUGUUAUUCACAGAAUCAGCCAUCAUUAUUUGUAGUAGUCAUUAGCUCCUUCCAACAAUAACAGCUUAAUUCACAGCUUUUCUCCCUAUUUGCUUUAAUUUAACUCUACUCAUGGGGCCAAACAUAAUUAUUAAACCACAGAGCAGCCUUAGCUAUUAUCUCUGAAGGCUUACAAAGUUGGAAAUUGGAAGAAAUGCUGUUCAAAAGUUGAUUUCCUCCCUCUCAGCAUCAUAGCAGAUUGCAUCAGCUUUCUUUUGCCAAACUCAGCUAGAAUUUUCCAAAGUUUUACUAAUUUCAAAGGCACCUAUCUGUUAAGUCAAGGGAUUAACAUAUAUUCCAUGUGUUUAUUAGUAAAAGUUUCCAGAAUCAACAACAACAAGUUACACAUCUGGUUUUCAUUCCCUCGACACAUUAUGUUCCAGCAAGUAGACAGUUGCUGAGCAAUUUUCUCUUUAACAAUCUAAAAUUCCGCAUGUAUGUUAGAGUUAAUAUGUUAGGAGGUGUUUGAAUUAUAAGAUAAGAUUCUGCAACUAGGUUUCCAUAGAGAAAACUGGAAUAUUUCCAUCUUUCUCCUUCGGCCGGUUUAGCAGAAUCCUCCAACUGUUUCUUGCAAAAACUCACCCUCAAGUUAUCAACUCUGUUUUAAAUCCUCAGAUAGCACCAGAGUGUGAACAUAUAACUUGAAUUCUUAAAUGAAAAUGGUUCCAUAUUCUCAAAUGGUAAGCUACACAUCCAAUUCUUUCUCUCGGAUGGUGCUGACAGAACUUCAUCAGGUUUCAUUCACAGUUCCAGCUCAAAGUUCUAAUUUUUCAUUCUACGGCUAACCCCUUAUAAACCGAAGAUAAAUCUGUUACAUGCACUUCCUAACAUUAUUAACCCAAGAAAUGUUAAUAACAGUUGCAAAUUCCAGCUUUAAGCUCAGCUUCUGCAAUUUCUUUUUCUUCCCUGCAGUUUCACAACUGCUGCACGAAAUUUUCUUCAGCCGGAAGCUCAAUUCCUAGCUAAGUUCAACAUAUAGCUGGUGUUUAACCAAUUAUACCAAAUAAACAGUGAGUUGUUAUAGUGUUUUACCUCUUCCUCCUAAGGUUCGACGUUGCAGGCUGCUCAAGUUUCUGUUUCAGUUCCUCAAGUCCUAACACCAGCUUCUCCUACUUUCCUUGCGGUAAUCUUUCUUGUCUUUGGUUAGUUGGUGAUGAAGCUAACCAAGCUUUCUCUCCCACCCUCUCAGUUUUUUCUCUUAGUGUUGGGUUGGAAAGAAAAGGAAUUGAAGCUUUGUUUCUCCUCUCGGCCACCGUCCAAAUCUUUUAGCAGAUGAUUUCUCCUUGUUUUCUCUCGGUCACCGCUUAGACUUGGCAGAUUUUGGCAGCGCAUUUCUCUUUGGUUUUCUCUUAGUCACCGCCCAAAUGUUUUGGCAAUUGAUUUGCCCAAGUCCCUCUCAG
RNAcentral lists this long non-coding RNA (2609 nucleotides) under Coffea arabica (coffee). RNAcentral's name for it is "long non-coding RNA (CARA_LNC006343)". The record is from RNAcentral. Lineage: Eukaryota; Viridiplantae; Streptophyta; Magnoliopsida; Gentianales; Rubiaceae.